GCUUGCUUUUCUCCUGUUCUCUUUAUCUUCUUGCCUUUGGUCUUGCGUUGUAGUUGCGGUGUUGGUUCAAGCAAGCUUUAACUGGUCUAGUUUGCAAGAGCUUCGAGUGCAAUUCCCGAUACAAACACCCCUCUCCUCCCGGUGUGACCUCGUCAGCUUCUUUCCUGGCAAAUACUUGAACAAUGUUUGGAAUAUUAUUUGACAAGCAAGGAGGAGAGAAUUAUUUUUACUGCUGUCAGCACGCGAGCAGUGGCAAAUAACUCAAGCUGUCUUCUGGAGCUGUGGCACUAGGCUUGUGGGCCGUCGUAUUUGCCCAUAACGGAGAAACUCGCGGAAUACGUUAUGUGCUGACGACCUCUGUUCUACUGCUCAAGUAUCUGCUUUUAUAAUUGGUGUACAGGCCAACUCUUGACUCCUUUCCAAGUACGAUGCCACUUGGGCUUAGCGGUCCCUGCAUAAAGUGGAAUCCUCUCCGUAUCGGACAAAUUUUCACGCACGGAUGGGCUGCCAUAGAAAACUCACCGCAGCAAGCGGAAUACUGUCGAACGUGGAAAGCAGAACGGAUUUCAUGCACAGGAAACAGUGAACGGGGCAUUCAAAUUUAUGAGAUGGU
Long non-coding RNA from Sycon ciliatum, 613 nucleotides. RefSeq lists it as uncharacterized. The transcript has 3 exons. NCBI's taxonomy places the organism in Eukaryota, Metazoa, Porifera, Calcarea, Leucosolenida, Sycettidae. The record is from RefSeq and is a predicted model, not a curated record.